Molecule: ribosomal RNA, 757 nt
Filed under: uncultured Thermoplasmatales archaeon
Lineage: Archaea; Methanobacteriati; Thermoplasmatota; Thermoplasmata; Thermoplasmatales
Description: bacterial SSU rRNA
Rfam family: Archaeal small subunit ribosomal RNA
Source: RNAcentral
CUAAAACGUCCGUAGCCGGUUUUGUAAAUCUCUGGGUAAAUCCUGCCGCUCAACGGUAGGAAUUCUGGAGAGACUGCAAAACUAGGGAUCGGGUGAGGCGAGAGGUACUCCUGGGGUAGGGGUAAAAUCCUGUAAUCCUGGGGGGACGACCGGUGGCGAAAGCGUCUCGCUAGAACGACUCCGACGGUGAGGGACGAAGGCUAGGGGAGCAAACCGGAUUAGAUACCCGGGUAGUCCUAGCUGUAAACGCUGCCCACUUGGUGUUGCCCUUUCCUCGGGAAGGGGCAGUGCCGGAGCGAAGGUGUUAAGUGGGCUGCUUGGGGAGUAUGGUCGCAAGGCCUGAAACUUAAAGGAAUUGGCGGGAGAGCACCGCAACGGGAGGAGCGUGCGGUUUAAUUGGAUUCAACGCCGGAAAACUCACCAGGGGAGACCAUGGUAUGAGUGUCAGCCUGAAGAGCUUACACGAUUACAUGGAGAGGUGGUGCAUGGCCGUCGUCAGCUCGUACCGUAGAGCGUUCACUUAAGUGUGAUAACGAGCGAGACCCUUGCCCAUAUUUGCCAACUUCCUCGCGAGAGGGAGAGCACUAUAUGGGGACCGCUAGCGUUAAGCUAGAGGAAGGAGAGGUCAACGGCAGGUCAGUAUGCCCCGAAUCCCCUGGGCAACACGCGCGCUACAAAGGACGGAACAAUGGGUUGCAACUUCGAAAGGAGGAGCUAAUCCUGAUAUCCGUCCGUAGUUCAGACUGAGGGCUGUAAU